AAAGAAAGCGUAAUAGCUCACUGGUCGAGUCGGCCUGCGCGGAAGAUGUAACGGGGCUAAACCAUGCACCGAAGCUGCGGCAGCGACGCUGAUGCGUUGUUGGGUAGGGGAGCGUUCUGUAAGCCUGCGAAGGUGUGCUGUGAGGCAUGCUGGAGGUAUCAGAAGUGCGAAUGCUGACAUAAGUAACGAUAAAGCGGGUGAAAAGCCCGCUCGCCGGAAGACCAAGGGUUCCUGUCCAACGUUAAUCGGGGCAGGGUGAGUCGACCCCUAAGG
Molecule: ribosomal RNA, 273 nt
Filed under: Escherichia coli
Lineage: Bacteria; Pseudomonadati; Pseudomonadota; Gammaproteobacteria; Enterobacterales; Enterobacteriaceae
Description: partial 23S ribosomal RNA
Rfam family: Bacterial large subunit ribosomal RNA
Source: RNAcentral